Non-coding RNA from Elaeis guineensis (African oil palm), 1382 nucleotides. Lineage: Eukaryota; Viridiplantae; Streptophyta; Magnoliopsida; Arecales; Arecaceae. The record is from RefSeq and is a predicted model, not a curated record.
AAAACCCAACACCAACUUUAUAAUCGUUAUACGUUAUCUUUAAGCCAGGAAAUAGCCUCCUCCGGCACUGCAAGCUUUUAAGUGAGAGAAAACAAAUACGGAAAGAAAAGAGAACGGAAGGCGAUGGAUCGACUGAAGCUGCCAAGGGGAGUUCAAAUCCAAGCUUCAGAGGGCCAAAAGAUUUCAGAAGCUAACAACACCGGUGGGGAACUGAAGCCGUUCAUGGGGGUGAAGGUCCGGCGAAGAGCCUCCCUCCGGCGAGACUGUAAAGGAGAUUACCUCGACGUCCCCUCCGAUCCUUGCCUCUCUUCCAUCUUAUCCAAGCGAGGUGAUCAGAAAGUUCUGUUUGCUGACAAAGUUUUGAAGUUUACGGGAUCUGGAAAAAUAAAGCAACGCAUAAUCUUGAUCACAGAGUGCGCAAUCUAUCUGGUUGAUCCAGAUGCUGAUGUGUUGAAACGGCGUAUAGCACUGGCAGCUGUUCAUAUGAUAUGCCUGAGCAAGCUGAGUGAUAAUUUUUUCGCAAUCAUUGUUCCUAGUGAAUAUGACUGCCUUAUGGCCAGCGCAAGGAAAACAGAAAUUGUUACUGUGCUUGUUGAAGCUACCAAGGGCAGACCUGAAUAUGAGGUUGGGGUGGUUUUCUCAAAUAGGUUUGAGUACCAUGCUUCUGCUAACCUGGUGAAGGAAGUUCAUUUUGAGGAGACAGAAGGUACUUUUUGCAUUAUCGCUAUCUUUUGGAAGUGGAUUAGGUUAUAGAGGCAAUGCAUGCGACUUGUACUGCAACUUUCCUACUGAAGCCCAUCCAUGGGCUUAAAGGCAAGCAAGGUAUGUUGCCCCGUAGUCUACAGUAUUCAGAAGAGGCGUCAGACACUCAGCUUUGGUUGGUCAGGGUUGGUUCAUCCAAGCUCCUCCUGAUCAAGUCAUGUGUAUCCCUUAAAUAAUCAGCAUAGUGAUGUCUCCUGUAUAUGAUAACGUUCCAAUCAAGCUGCUUUCUGUAUUCAUGCUUCCAUAUGCUGCUAACAUGAGGCAUUAAGACAAGGAUUGCAAAGAAGACAAGUUGAAAUCUGGAUUUGGUUUGCACAGUGAAAGCAGCUUCUGUACAGUCAGAAGUUUCUCAAAAACUUUUAAGUUUGGAGGGUGAGGAUUCUUCGGAGGAGCCAGAUGAGGAAUAGCCAGACAAAUCUCGAAUCCAGGGCCAAGAAACGAUCAUGGAGGGACAAAUUAGAACAAGAGGCUCUGAAAAUAAAGAACCAGUGUUGGGUGAAUAGGGUUGUACAGUCAUUGUGGCAUUGUAUGGUCUUCCAAUAACAAUUUUCUGGCAGCUUCAAUCAUCCACAGAACCUUUGUUCCAGCAAUUAAUUCAAGCAUUUGUGAAAUGACAAGGA